RNAcentral lists this ribosomal RNA (825 nucleotides) under uncultured bacterium. RNAcentral describes it as "bacterial SSU rRNA". It matches the Rfam family "Bacterial small subunit ribosomal RNA", at positions 39 to 822 of the family's 1533-position model. The record is from RNAcentral.
GCGGGNNGCCUAANANUGCAAGUCGAACGAGGUGUCCCAAUGAAAAUGAAGUACUUGUACGGAAGAGGAUUUGGAUUCACACCUAGUGGCGAACGGGUGAGUAACGGGUAGGCAACCUGCCCUCAAGACGGGGAUACCAGUUGGAAACGACUGUUAAUACCGGAUAGUAUACAAUAUCGCAUGGUAAUGUAUUUAAAGGAGCUUCGGCUUCACUUGAGGAUGGGCCUGCUUUGUAUUAGAUAGUUGGUGAGGUAAUGGCUCACCAAGUCAACGAUGCAUAGCCGAACUGAGAGGUUGAACGGCCACACUGGAACUGAGACACGGUCCAGACUCCUACGGGAGGCAGCAGUUAGGGAUAUUGGGCAAUGGAGGAAACUCUGACCCAGCAAUGCCGCGUGAGUGAAGAAGUAUUUCGGUAUGUAAAACUCUGUUGUAUGGGAGGAAAGAACUAGUAGGAAAUGGCUAGGAGAUGACUGUACCAUACGAGAAAGUCACGGCUAACUACGUGCCAGCAGCCGCGGUAAUACGUAGGUGGCAAGCGUUAUCCGGAAUUAUUGGGCGUAAAGGGUGCGUAGGUGGCAUGUUAAGUCUGGUGUAAAAGGCAAUAGCUCAACUAUUGUAUGCAUUGGAAACUGGCAAGCUAGAGUGUGUGAGAGGUAAGUGGAAUUCCAAGUGUAGCGGUGGAAUGCGUAGAUAUUUGGAGGAACACCAGUGGGCGAAAGGCGGCUUACUGGCACACAACUGACACUGAGGCACGGCAGCGGGGGGAGCAAAUUGGAUUAGAUCCCCUANUAGUCCACGCCGUAAACCAAUGANCGCUAAGUG